GAGGAAGUAAACGGCAUUAAGAGAGAGUAUCAAUGAAACCAUGGCUUUCAGAAUGAAUCUCUCUGAAGAACAUGAAACAAAGAUAAAGACAGUCAAGAGUCUGAUUCAGGGGGUUGAAUCAGAUUUACCUGAACACAGCAAUGUUUCUGUGAGGAAAAACCAACCAAUGGAUCUUUCAUAUCUCUGCAGAGAGGAAGACUCUUCUGUUGAGUCCAGUCUGUGUGAGAGUCAAUCUCCUGAACCCAGCUGUGUGUCCAUGAAGAGUGACCAGUCAAUGAAUCAUCCAAUUGGAUUCAACUCAGGAGACUCAUCUGCUGAUCUGAGGUGCUGUUUAGUUUACAGUAUAAGAAAUAUAUAUGAUAUUCAUUAAUUUACUGAUGUGCAUUAAAUACAUUAAUACAUAUUUCCAAACAUAUGCAAUAUUUGUUCAACUACAGUCAAAAACAUGAAGGAUCAGAAUCAAAUACAGUAAAGAAGAACUUGGACUCCAUUUUCAAGGUUGGUUUUGUGUGUGUAUGUCUGUGUGUGUGUCCCUUUUGGGUAAAAGUAUUAAGAAAUCCUCUCUACAAUAGUUACAUUUACUUUCCCACUCACCUGAUACAUGUAAAGUAAUAUGUAGGCCACAACAAAGCUGAUCAAUGACUAUGAAGGUAAAAGAGUAGCAAAACUCGAGAGCUUGUUGAUUGUUGUUAAUAUUCUUAUUUGUAAUUUAAAAAU
Molecule: long non-coding RNA, 717 nt
Filed under: Sinocyclocheilus anshuiensis
Lineage: Eukaryota; Metazoa; Chordata; Actinopteri; Cypriniformes; Cyprinidae
Description: lncRNA (ENSSANG00000047587.1)
Source: RNAcentral